AUUGAACGCUGGCGGCAUGCCUUACACAUGCAAGUCGAACGGUAACGGGCCUUCGGGUGCCGACGAGUGGCGAACGGGUGAGUAAUACAUCGGAACGUGCCCGAUCGUGGGGGAUAACGAGGCGAAAGCUUUGCUAAUACCGCAUACGAUCUACGGAUGAAAGCAGGGGACCGCAAGGCCUUGCGCGGACGGAGCGGCCGAUGGCAGAUUAGGUAGUUGGUGGGAUAAAAGCUUACCAAGCCGACGAUCUGUAGCUGGUCUGAGAGGAUGAUCAGCCACACUGGGACUGAGACACGGCCCAGACUCCUACGGGAGGCAGCAGUGGGGAAUUUUGGACAAUGGGCGCAAGCCUGAUCCAGCCAGGCCGCGUGCAGGAUGAAGGCCUUCGGGUUGUAAACUGCUUUUGUACGGAACGAAAAGCCUUCUUUUAAUACAGGAGGGUCAUGACGGUACCGUAAGAAUAAGCACCGGCUAACUACGUG
RNAcentral lists this ribosomal RNA (482 nucleotides) under uncultured bacterium. RNAcentral describes it as "partial 16S ribosomal RNA". It matches the Rfam family "Bacterial small subunit ribosomal RNA", at positions 30 to 507 of the family's 1533-position model. The record is from RNAcentral.